GACGAACGCUGGCGGCGUGCCUAAUACAUGCAAGUCGAACGCUUCUUUCCUCCCGAGUGCUUGCACUCAAUUGGAAAGAGGAGUGGCGGACGGGUGAGUAACACGUGGGUAACCUACCCAUCAGAGGGGGAUAACACUUGGAAACAGGUGCUAAUACCGCAUAACAGUUUAUGCCGCAUGGCAUAAGAGUGAAAGGCGCUUUCGGGUGUCGUUGAUGGAUGGACCCGCGGUGCAUUAGCUAGUUGGUGAGGUAACGGCUCACCAAGGCCACGAUGCAUAGCCGACCUGCGAGGGUGAUCGGCCACACUGGGACUGGGACACGGCCCAGACUCCUACGGGAGGCAGCAGUAGGGAAUCUUCGGCAAUGGACGAAAGUCUGACCGAGCAACGCCGCGUGAGUGAAGAAGGUUUUCGGAUCGUAAAACUCUGUUGUUAGAGAAGAACAAGGACGUUAGUAACUGAACGUCCCCUGACGGUAUCUAACCAGAAAGCCACGGCUAACUACGUG
Molecule: ribosomal RNA, 508 nt
Filed under: uncultured bacterium
Lineage: Bacteria
Description: partial 16S ribosomal RNA
Rfam family: Bacterial small subunit ribosomal RNA
Source: RNAcentral